Alligator mississippiensis (American alligator) is the source of this 9879-nucleotide long non-coding RNA. RefSeq lists it as uncharacterized. NCBI's taxonomy places the organism in Eukaryota, Metazoa, Chordata, Crocodylia, Alligatoridae. The record is from RefSeq and is a predicted model, not a curated record. The transcript has 4 exons.
GAAGAGAACAGGGGGAGACGGGAGAGGCCAAUAGGGAGGGACACUGCAACGUUACACGCCCUAGGUUCAGGGUGGUUGGUCCUGGUGCAGCAAGGGGCUCAGGCUCUCUGCAGACUCUAGCAGCCUGUUGUACAGGGAUUGUGCGCACUGGGUAGUGCUUUGGGGCAGCAAGGGUGAAAAGCGGGGAAGGGGGAGAGGUCAGUUAGGUUUUUAAUUAAAAAAUAAAAUCAAGUUGGGAAAGUGGAACCCCCCCAGCCUGCACCCGCUGUGACCCCAGCCUCCGCCACUGGGAAGCUCUGGCUUCUGCCACUGAGGACAAAGCAGGAAGUAAUGGAACAUCAAGAGGCAUAUCCCUGACACCUGAUGACCACACCACGUGCUAAACUGUAAGCCUCUGCUUCAAAGCAUUAAGCCUGGAAGCAUGCUCUAUGGAAACUGGAAAUCCUGACAAGAGGAGUCACAAAAUGCUUCCUUGUCUGAUGUAAUGUCGUGGGAGCUGGCAUGAGCGUCUCUGAUAAUGGUGUGGGCAACACUUGCACGAAGAUUGUAACAGAAACUGUGUAUUUUCGGAUGAAUGGCUUCUAUUUUUCCAUGUAAUAUUAUGUGCAUAUGUCCUUCUGGCAGGAAAUGACCAGGGGGUAGCUCUGAUUUUACCCUAAUAUGUUAUCACAGUUGUUCAUGACUUGAAUCUAAAUGCUAUUAAAUAUUAGCUCCCAUUUAGAACUUUACCAAAAGGACGCAGCUCUGCCAGUGCCCAUUUUUAGUGAAUUUAACAAACAGUAUGCACUAAACAGCUACAGAUUUCCAUUUUGAAAAUGACAGCACUGGAUUCCCUGAGCCACAGUCUAUACCGGUGUAAAUCAGCAGAGCUGCACUGAAGCCAGUAGCGCUAUGUCACUUUGCAUAAUAAUUUGACCUCCUCAUUCUUGCCUCAAAACACUCAUAUGAGGUAGGCAAAGAUUAUUAGGCUUUUAAUUUAGCAGAUCUGCUGUACAGCUUCUCUCUGCUCUCAGGCUCUUAUUGCGCCUCUGUGGUCAGCAAAGGAACAUACAGCAAGAGAGAGAGAAACUGCAGCCGGGUGUAUUUUAAACAAUUUCCAAAAUCCAAACGAAUGUUGAGGCCAAGAGGAUGUUUUCCUUAGUGGCAGAAAUACAAGCAUCCUGGAUUCUGUUUUCCUGCUAAUAGGUAUAAAGACGAAUAAACAGCUGCUUUCUGUUUUCCCAAAAAUAUUUGCAUUAAGAUGAUCUGCAAAUUCCUGCUCAGAUUGAUGGAACAUCUCUUCAAAUGAGGACCAGCUGCUUGCUCUGUUUGUUUAUGGCAGGACAUGCUUAAGAGACCUUUUUUUUUUUUUGUUUGUUUAUCAAAAUGUGGGACCAGACUCUUUCUGGUGGGCUGUAAUCGCAGUGUGGGUGAUGUCUGAAUAAGGGGCGAGUCUGUGCAUGUAACUGUGGUUGCAGCCAUCCCACCUUCUGCUGUGAUUUUCUGCGAUUGUCAGCUAACCGAAGUUGGACUAGGGCUAUUCGUGAACGGGAGGCUUCCAAGAAAUGCCAAAACAGAGCAAGAGGAAGUGACAUCGUUGUUACUGAACUGUUCCAAGUGGUAUACUAUCUAAAGGUAUUGCCUUUAGUAUGAGAGAUUUAAAAAGGCUUUCUAAUUUGGUACCCUUAAAAAGCGCACAGUAUUAAUUUCCAAGAAUAUAUAUGAUGUUAACUGCAAGGUGCUGGGGUAAUAAUACAAAACUGAGCAGUGGCAUGCUCUUGGCUUAAGUUCCCUUUGUAGUUUGCAGUUGGAUACAGGAUUUUUGCCUUCCAUUCCACGUUGCACAGAAACUACUUUGCAACAAUAUUAAACAGUUGUGUUCCUCCCUAGAGCUGGUUGCACUUCAUGGCUGAAGAAGCAACCCUUGUGCAUCCUGUUGUCCCUAUAUUGUUUUUCAAAUUGCCUAUAAAAUACCACAGGGAUUUAUGAUUUUGUGGAACCAAUAAUAUUAAUAAAUCAACAUAUAACGGUUUUUAAAGGGCACAGAUUAAAGGCACAAUAUGAGGAAUAACAGUAGCAUCACCUUUGCCAAUGACUGGCUUUCUCUCAACGGAAGUGAUUUGCUGCUGUUCUUGAAAGCAGACUGAGAUGAGUUUAUGCAGUUCUCUUGUAGUAGCUACAUGAAUAUAAAGGUCACAGAGACGCAGCUGGAGCAGAGAGAAGAGGAAACUGGAAAUCCUCUGAGUCUCUGGUCAAGGAAAUUCCUGGGACUGACACGGUGCUGUACCAAAGAGUGAAACCUGAAGAAAACAAAGGAAAGCACAGGAUGAAAUCCAGGAUUAAACAUUACCCAGGAGAAGAAACUUCAGGGUAGGGUCGCCUGCAAAGGAUGCCUCGCAACCGGCAGUUGAAGAGGCAGUCUCUCUGGCAACCAGAAGGCAGGAUGAGGAAAUGAAGGAGACAGAAGGCAAUAUGGAUAAACACUAUUAGCAGCGGGAGUUUGUGAGAGCACAGAGAGCUUAUAGAUAGGGACCAGGUUCUGGGCUGUUCUGCACUCUGUAUAGUUAUUCCAUCUGUGCAAAGUGAGUACAAAGUGCUACUAAAUAAAGAACGGCAGGAGGUUACACUCACAUUGUGCUCUCUAGAUGCUGGAUUCCACCAGGGGACAGAGGUUGCCCAGCAGGAUUUCAGCUGGAGGCAACGGGCUCAGAGCAGACAUAGAUUCUGCUCCCCACUGUGCUCUUUGCUCCAUGUCUGUCCUUGGACAAAUAACUUGGCCCCUCUGUAAUUCAGCUUCCCUGUCCAUAAAAUGAGGAUGACAGCUCCCUCUGUAAAGCAUUUUGAGAUCUACCGAUGAGAAGUUAUUCAUCUCUUUACAUUUAAUUAGAUAAGAAGCUGAUCGUGAAAAUUCCUUACCAUCCAGUGGCAAAAGGAUUUGUCAAUGCUGCUGGGCACGGAUUACAAAUACCAGAAUAAAAUACGCUUCUGAUUUUGAUUUUGCCACUAGAUUGCACUGGUGGCUCUGUGCACUAGACGGAGAGAACAGAACAAUGGUGGGUUAGUUGCUUUAUCACCUCCAGAAACAGCACCUUGCUUGGUUUCACUGGGUCUGGAUUCAGUCAACUGCAAGCAUUUCCCACACAUGGGAACAUCCACCAUAAGAGAAACAGAAUGUGCUCUGAUGGGCUUAGUGUCAGACAUUAUGUGUCUUAAAAAUGAGGGGAAUAUAAACAAAGGAGCAAACAGUGAUUUCAGUUGACAGCUUAACAGCUCAACAACAUCAGAUUCAUGUGCAAUUAAUAAGAGGGCUUUUGAUCCUGCAAUCAGUGUCUAUAAAAUACAUGUGGUUUCCCUGUAUACUUGAUUAUAUUUAAGGAAGCAAAAGGAUAAAUACUUUUUUUUUAUUAGCAUAACAAAGUACUUUUCACUUCAAGCCAGAACUUUGCAAAACAUUUGUGGUCUGACACGAUGUGCUUUUCAUUUCAUCUUCCUGCAUAUGUUGAAUAUACAACAAAAUGCUUCCUAUGCUUUUUAUUCCAGUGUUUAGCAAGAACCAAAGAAACUCAAUUGGAGAGUUUAUUGGAUCUGAGAUUUUAGAGGGAAAAAGUGCUUGUUUUUUAAAUGCAAUGUUUUCUCCAUAUAUAAAGGCAAAAAGAAAAAACAACUGUGUUUUUGAAGUCAAAGUACCCAACUAUCUUUUUAUAAUUUUAUUUUAAGCUUGUGGAACUUUAAAAGUAUAUGAACCUAUGUUAUGGCUUCUCGUGAAGUUGUGUUACAAUUCAGUUUGGGUUUUUUGCUAAAAGAUCCUCAAUUUCUAGCCCUUGCAAAGGUCGCUUCAGUGGUUUUUAUUGCUCAGAAUUGGUAAACCAGUGACAUUGGUUGGCUCGAGGCCAAGAACCUGAGUGCUUCUUGGAAAUAUGAAAAGGAAAAAUCAUGGUUCAGAGGUACCCACAAGACUACCCAGUGGUUUUGAAUUCCACAUCCAGCCCCACCGAUAGCUUUCGCUAUGGAGAUAGUCUUUGUACACAGUAGCAAAACAGCAUAUGAAUAGGAAAGAAUAUACUUUCCACCCCGGCUAAUUCUGAAACAGCUUUACCUAGGAUACAUUUGGAAUGUAAAAUCUGUUCUUUUAACAGUUUUCCCAUUCACUGCAGUCUCUGAUGAGUAAAUCAAAAUGCCACGUUUAAUAAAACCCAACACGCUGUCCAGGAGGUAUCAGGUUUGGGGCUCCUCCCUCCCCUGCAAAAAUGUUAAAAACAGACUUCAGAAUAUUAUUUUUCACUCCAUCAACACCCAGGCAGAUGUCCUGUUUGCCUUAAAAGCCCAUUUGGUUAAUGUCAGAGAAGAUAAUAAACCUAGCAGCCUCGCAUGUGUGUACACAGGCCAAACUGAGAUUCUGUAUUUUACUGCUGAGGCAGCUUUAUCACUGAUAGCCAUGGGGAAGCUGUAGAUUAAACGGGAUUCAGACUUUCUUAUCAUCAGGUCAUCUGACCCUGUUCAGUGCAGCACUGCCCUUCUCCAUGCUAUUUUAAGUUUUAGCGUGCAUUUUAGAAUAUGGGCCAGAUCCAAAGAAGGACAAUGCCUACCUUUUAGGAGCUUAACCCUCCGAAUGCAAUCCAAAGCCUAGAGUUAGGUACCUAUAGGUACCUACACUUCCAACAGGGAGAGUUAGGUACCUCAGAAAGGCGCUCCAAAAAAACUGAUGUGUUGAGGAGCAUAAAAAUGCUAAGCACCAGAUGGUGUCUGAACUUAACUUCCCCGUUGUUUGAACUUCCAUCCCUUCUUGUAGUUGAGGUGCCUGAAUUGGCGCUGAAAGGGACUAAAGCAAGUGCCCAGGAAGUGGGAGGCAUGGAUUAUAAGCCAUCCUCAGCCUGAGGGGCCUCAAACCUACAAGAUCUCAUUUCCAAGGAAAGUGUCCAAACACCAAGCUAAGAGCUAGACUGUAUGAGAGCACCUCUGCCCCUUCUGUAGCAAAAGAUGUAAGGCUCAUAGGGCCAGAGAGAAGAGCAAGCCAGAACCAUCCUCACUGCAUAGCCCAAUAGUUAAGACACUCAGCUGAGUUUUUCUCCCUAUUUCUAAGGGUAUUUUUGCCUUUUUAUUCAAUAAUUGUUUCACCUAACAUGUAAAAAUAGAUUUAGGAGCUGAGACUAGAACUCAGGAUUCCCUGUUCUCAGCUGAGAUGUACUUUAAAUCAUCAGUGAAUAUGAUUAAGGAGGUCAGGCAUGUCUUCUCAGAGCAGGAUUUCCAGGUAAUCAGAGACCCUGAAUUCAUAGAAGUGCAUUUUGGGACUUGUGGUCCCAGUAAUAUUGCACUAUGCCCUCUUUGGAUCUAUUGUCCAAAGAUGGAUGUAUUGGGUGUAUUGUAUUAUUUAAGGCUGGUCCUCCUGCCUCUCUCUCUUUCUCUCUCUCUCUUACUUAAGUGCAGACAGCUUUACAGACCAAGCAUUUCAAAACCAGCAUUAGCCAGAAUGAGGUUAGCUUUUAGAACUCUUGUCAGACUUGACUGUACUAAUGAUGUCUGCAGCUUGUCAUUAAAAAAGAAUCAAGGGAAAGCUGAUUAAAUGCAGCAGAAAGAGAGAAACAAAACUUUCCAUUCCUUUACUUUUUCCUUGACACGUGGCGCUUUAUUUGGAGCUUGCCAAUAUGCCAGCCAACAAAAUUGCAGGGGUCUAGUCAUGGUUCACUAGUUAAAUCUGUAUGGAAUUAGCUGCUGAUGUGGACCAAUGGAAAACACUCAUUUACAGAGCUGGAAAUGGCAGCCACGUAUAGGCUUACUCAUUAGGAAAGCUAUCAAUACAACAGAUUGGUUCGUUUCUGAUUUGUACUAUCCCAGCAUAGUGCAGAUCAAAUAAAGUGAGAAGCAUCAUACUGGAGUUUAGAUACACAGCCAAAAGAGAGUGAAAUAUUUGAUCAGGAGAGCUACAAAUGCUUAAAUCAGUCUUUUGUUAUGAGUGCACUUCCCGACUGAGAAGUUUGGGUGCUAACUUAACAAUCAUUGCACAGGCAGCUUGCAACAAAAUUCAUACAGCCAGCUGUUAUACAUCUUGUUCCAUUUUCCAAAGUUCCACUUCAUUCAGCCUUACCUGACAACCAUAAUUAGCAAUACAGCGUACUGCUGAACAUUACAUCAGCCUUGCAAAAUUGUCAUGAAAAUGUAUUAGCCCCGGCACAAAAUAUCCCUGUUCAUUACCACUAAAAUGAUCACUACGAAAAGAGUAAAUGGCAAUUUACUCCCCCAUCAGAAAUGAUUUCCCCUUGGUGAGUUAGAAUAGAAUUUUGUCUGCAAGUCUGCAUUUCUUUCUGUCUCUCUUUCUGUCUCUCUCGAUUGGUGAGCUGGUUGGUUUCAAGGUUUGGUUUUCAUUUGUCUGUUAUGGUUGGUAGUUUGUAAUGCAAAGUGAAGAAGGCAUCGGUAUCUGCCAGCUAAUGCUGGUAACCACGCGUGAAAAUCCUUGAGAGGAGUGAGGAUGAAAACAGAACACCCAAUUCUGAUAUUUCCCAAAGUUGUGCAGAGAUCUUUCUGUGCAUGGAGACCUAAAGGGAUGGAUGCCUCUCUCUGAGGGUGUGUGAACCAAGUCAAGCAGAUGCCUCCUACACUCUUGUAUCCUAUGCAGAUUACUGCUGCUCUUGGCAAAAGUGAUUUGUGUGUGGAAGGGGAUUAAUAUUAUUGAAAAAAUAUUGGAGAAAUUAAGUCUUCGUUCUUUGGAAAAGGGGAGAUUAGGAGGAAACUAGGAGUCAGUACAAUCCUGUAAGACACAAUCCAGGCGGAGAGAUGCUACAGGGAUCUUUGAAGUGAUGCCAAAUACAAUAACAAAGGGCCAUACGCUCUUCUUAGGAAAAGCUAGUUAUUUAUUAGAUUUAUAUGCUGCCCUCCCUGAAAGAGUCUCAGAGCAGCUUACAAUAAAAUUCAGAGAAAUUAUAAAGACACAUACAAGUAUUAAAUAAUAUGCAAUAGGACAAACUCCCCAGACAGUGCCCCAAAACUUAACCCUACUUGCUGAAGGCCAGCUCAAAUAAAAAAAGGUCUUACAAGACUUCCGUAAGAUGUCCAAGCUCAAGCUCUGAUGGAUAUUAAAGUUGGCUGGAAUUUUUUUAACCAUAAAGUACUGAAAUACUCACCCCCUCCUCCUGUCCACUUGCCUCCUCCUUCCAUCUCAUGCUGCAAAAGCAGAAACCAGGGUAAAAAGAUUUUGAAAAAGAAAUAGAUCUGUAUUCUAAAGAAAGGGGAGGGGAGCAUCCAAAAUUCUGGCUAAUAUGGGUGAACCUCGAGCAAGACCUGAUACAAUAGCACCUGAAGUGAUGAUAUUUUGAUUACGGCCAGCCCUUUGAGGAGCUUACCCAUUGAAGGCAUGAUCUAAAGGACUGUGCCGAAAGUUUCACUGCUGACACACAAUACACAUGCAUGAAAUAUAUAUUGGCCACGCCUUCAGACCCUACCCAGGAAUGUCCGUUCAUCUGCAUGGUACGCACCUGUCUAUCUUGCAAGACAACAGAAUUGCUCUUGAGUGAGACACUGGAUCGCUCAAUGGAAACCUCACUUGAUAAUAAAGUGAAGCUGGAGUGACUGCUCCAGGGGGCAAAAGCCUGGUGGACACAUUCUGUCAUUUCUGGCUGUGUGAUGGAGGUGUACAGACUGAAGAACUAAUCAGCACAGUACUUAAGCAAAUGCCUAAUUAAGCAUGUGAGUACUCUCAUUGAUGGAGCAUACAAUUCAAGUUAGACACCUGCUUAACUUGGAGGCUGACACGGAGCCUGAGCCUAGAAUUUGGCCCUCUGCUAACUUAAAGGCAGCUACGGAUUUUGAAAGGCUUUCUGGCUGCUUCUUGCCCCCAGUCUCCUCUGUGCUUUCGUAUAUGCAUCUAUUAUGCUCACAAACCAGGCUAGAAGGAAGUGGGAAGGGAGGAGGGAAACAGUGCACAUUAGGCUGUGAAAUGUAAAAAGAGGUUUUUCAAACAGCAUAUUCAAAACGUCACCCUGGAGUCAUACAAUAAUAAAUAUUCAAUAUUACAUUGAAAGGGUUUAAUUGCCAAGUAACUAUGGCAAUGGAGAGAAAAGCCUGUCUUUGGACACAUUCCCUCCUGCAUUAAUUUUUCCCAGGAGGAGGAGAAUGGAUUCUAGAUUGUUAAUGGAUAACGUUUUCCAGAGCCCUCUCCGAUCACUCAGUGACUCCAGGAUUAAAAAGAAGCAGACAGAAUUCUCCGAGGGAAGCUGGACGUUCAAAACAAUUAUGCUGAACAAUUCCAUCUCCUCAGACGGGGUUGAGUACACCAGGUUCCCGAUGCAAGGCUGUCAAAGGCAUUGAGACCCACUGUGCAGCAGUGUGACCCCUAGUAAAGUGAGCCUAGCUCUGAAUCCAAAUGCUCACUGCCUCUUCCUCUGUCCCCAAAGAAACAGGCUUUACAGCAAGCCUACAAGCCUGAAAAUGAAACUCAAAAGUGUUUGGAAAUGGAGGGCGGUGCUGGCACAUUGGGACGUGCCACUGGAUCUGUGGUUUUAGAAAAUAUUUCUUAAUCCAGGUAGGGAAAGAACUGCAUUAUCCCAUUGGUAUUUUCUUAAGUAACUUGAUGCAUGUCUCUCUUGGAUGGAUGGAUGCUAUAAGGCAGUGAUGUUUAAUUUGAGAAAACUGGUAAGGGGGAAGGGGAAUAAUUGUCUUAUAUUGUUACUGGAAUAUAGUCCUCUGGGAAGGAUUUUUAGAAUGGUCUGCUAUUUGGGGCAAUCCAUUACAUUUCAACGGCAAUAAACCUUUGCUGCUUAGAAUUUUUUUGAAACAAAUCAUUCAUAGUGAGGGUUACGCAGUUUCCAGAAGGCGGUUUGAACUAAACCAAGAUCAGGAACUCUUCCAUUCUUUCUUUAGACCAAAAACUGUAAUGGCACAAAGGCAGUUUCCUAAGGCAGAGGCCACAUCAGCAAUAGAAAGCCCUAGAGAAUACUGGAAAACCUGUAGGGAUAUUUUUACUUUCCAUUCUUAGCUUCAGUCCUUUAUUUGAUAGAUGUGAUUUGAUUUCUAGAAGGUCUUCCUCUGUGUGGUAGAGAAACCUCAAUUCUGUGGGAAAGAAAAUGGGAUUUGUGACCCAGAACAAUAAAGACACCAUCUAUGCUACAGCAGCAACAAAAAAAACAACCAAGGCAAACCCAUGUUACCCAACUGCUCACCGUUCCUUUAACAAACAUGAACACUCCUUGCCCAACUCUCCCCUCCCAAAUCUGUCCUUUAAAUUAUACCAAUGCUUGUUUAGGAGGAUUUUCAAACAUAAAUCCCUAUUUGUGUCUUGCUGUCGCAAUAACCAGUUACAGAGCCGUUGAUGUGUGAACCCCCAACCCUUCCUUUGAUCCAGGUAGGCAGACUCCUGUGUCUGUGAACAGAAAAGGGGAGCAAAACUCAGCAGAGUGUCCUAACUACAGGCAAAAUGCUGUUUCGCUUAGCGCUAUUUUGCUCAUUUUAAAUUGAUAUGUGAUUUCACUUAGCCCUCAGCGAGUUUCGUUAUACUGCUCGCGGUCGCCAUCUCGGGUCAUUAAAAACAAUUGCGGUCACCAUCUUGGGUUGUCAGAUACUUCCAGUUUCACUUAAUGCUUGUUUCACUUAACACUCGUUUUUUCAGGAAUCAACGAAGAAUGCUAAAUGGAGGUUGCCGGUACAUGAUUUCACUUAGCGCUCAGCGAGUUUCGUUAUAAUCUUUGCAGUCGCCAUCUUGGUUCAUUAAAAACUACUGCGGUCGCCACCGUGGGUCGCCAAAUACUGUCGGUUUCACUUAAUGCUCAUUUCACUUAAUUCUUCGUUUUUCAGGAACCAAUGAAGAGCGCUAAGCGGGGAUUGCCUGUACGUGAUUUCACUUAGCGCUUAGCAAGUUUCGUGAUAAUGUUCGUGGUCGCCAACUUGGUUCAUUAAAAACAACUGUGGUCGCCA